GGUAGCAUAAUCAAUAGUCUUUUAAUUGGAGGCUUGAAUGAAAGGUCGGACGAAGAUAAUCUGUCUUUUAAUUAGAAAUUGAAUUUUACUUUUAAGUGAGAAGGCUUAAAUUUCUAAGUGGGACGAUAAGACCCUAUAAAACUUUAUGUGUAGAAUUUAUAUAUAAAUUAUAAAUUAAAAUUAAUAAAUUUUAUAACAUUAUAUUGGGGCGAUAGAAAUAUAAAUAAUAACUGUUUUUAAAAAUUAAAUAUUAUAAAUGAUCCUUAAAUUGAGAUUAUAAGUUCAAGUUACUUUAGGGAUAACAGCGUUAUUUUUCCUGAGAGUUCUUUUCGAAGGAAGUAGUUGCGACCUCGAUGUUGAAUUAAAAUGUUAUCAAGGUGCAGGAGCUUUGAUUGUAGGUCUGUUCGACCUUUAAAAUUUUACAUGAUUUGAGUUCAAACCGGUGUGAG
RNAcentral lists this ribosomal RNA (449 nucleotides) under Discias sp. AT-2008. RNAcentral describes it as "partial 16S ribosomal RNA". It matches the Rfam family "Bacterial large subunit ribosomal RNA", at positions 1955 to 2625 of the family's 2925-position model. The record is from RNAcentral. Lineage: Eukaryota; Metazoa; Arthropoda; Malacostraca; Decapoda; Disciadidae.